ACACUUUACGAAGUACACUGCAAUACAGUGCACUACAAUUCAGUGCACUGUAUUGCAGUGCACUGCGUCGCUGAUAAGUGCUGUCUCAAAUGGAACACUUACGUUAACCACUUGGCGGAAGUGACGGACGCAAAUCUGUUCACGGCACCCGUGAAAUUAAACCGGGAGUGACGUACGCAAAUCUACUUGCGAUACCCCUUAACCCUUGUGUUGCCUUCGGGUCAAUUUGACCCGAUUCAAUGUUUCACCCUCCUGUCACCUUUAUAUUUACUAACAUAUUUUACCCUUGAGGUCAAUAUGACCCCAGCUAUUAAAAUCUCCAGAAAAUUAUUAGAAUUAAUAUUGUUUUCCAAGUUUAAGUGUGAGGUACUUUAUGUUUGUUUGUUGACUCCCGAAAGAACACCGACAUUAAACAUUGAAUCGGGUCAAAUUGACCCGAAGGCGACAGGAGGGUUACAUAUUGAAUCGGGUCAAAAUGACCCGAAGGCAACACAAGCGUUAAAGUGACCAAAUGAAUGCACUUCUUGCCCUCUUGUUGUCCCUUGUUUACCUUUCUCCACCCCAUGUGGAAAAAGAUACCUCCACAAUCGCGGCAGGAGCCUCCGCCUUCUGGCUGAAGUCGAGAUGCAGCCACCCAGUCCCAGGCGGCGCUGCCGUAUCAAUGCUGCAAUGCCACUGCUGGCGUUGUAUUGUGAUGGCCACAGUGACAUGAGGGUGGACUUCAGGCUCACCCGAGAGUCAUUCAACGCCCUCAUGGCUGUGCUGGGCACUGACUGACCACGGUUGGGGCCCCGAGAUCUCCUGUCUAGUUUUUAUUUUUUGGCUUGCCAGCGCCA
This is a long non-coding RNA of Pseudoliparis swirei, 836 nucleotides long. RefSeq lists it as uncharacterized. Lineage: Eukaryota; Metazoa; Chordata; Actinopteri; Perciformes; Liparidae. The transcript has 2 exons. The record is from RefSeq and is a predicted model, not a curated record.